This is a long non-coding RNA of Hippocampus zosterae (dwarf seahorse), 764 nucleotides long. RefSeq lists it as uncharacterized. NCBI's taxonomy places the organism in Eukaryota, Metazoa, Chordata, Actinopteri, Syngnathiformes, Syngnathidae. The transcript is spliced from 3 exons. The record is from RefSeq and is a predicted model, not a curated record.
CGCGAGACUUCCUGUCUCUUCUUGCCUCUGUCCACUUGCGGGACGGUCGAUGUGGAAGAUGAAUUCAGAUAUCAAGCGGCCCAACGUGCACCAGCUUUUGAUGCAUCGAUGCUCAAACAUGACAUUGGUGAACAUACACGGUCCUUCUUGAACUGAGGUUCUUUUUGAUUAUUUAUUUGGAUAAUCUAGUAGUUACUUUGUAAUGGGGCUAGCUUGUUAGCUCCAACGGAACCAACACGUGGCGGAGUCGCAUAAUCGCGGGUGCAUUUGGUUUCAAAUCUCCGAACGAGAGGACUUUGAAAAGGUGCAGUGAAUUGCUGUCGUCAGAACAUGGUUCUCUCGAUGGGAAAGAAUGUGCAUGCGUACUUGCAGAUGGACUUGGGCAGAUUCAAGCCAGCGAUUGAUAAAAGUUAUCCCUAUAUAAAAUUUCUGCAUCGGGAUGAAUGACCUGAGCAAAAUAAGUGGCAUGGAAACAUAAUUGUAGUUUUUUUAAAUAAACAAUGUUGUACAAAGAUGUAUAAAAGCCCCAAAAGUGAGCUUGAAUCAGGAAGCUGGAGCCCAGUGUGACUUCUGAUUGUAUGACUUUUUCUUCAAGCUUUCAAGGAAGAUUUGCUGCUCUUGCAGAUAGUCGUGCUCCUGUGUGCAUGAGUAAUUCAGUUUAGUGCAAGUCCAUAUACUGAAAUAAAGAGAUCAUUUAAAAAAUAAGCAUGCAUGUUUUCCUGAUAUGACCAUGAGUUGCAAUAAAGCUUAUAAGCGUUACAAUA